Molecule: ribosomal RNA, 468 nt
Filed under: uncultured bacterium
Lineage: Bacteria
Description: partial 16S ribosomal RNA
Rfam family: Bacterial small subunit ribosomal RNA
Source: RNAcentral
GACGAACGCUGGCGGCGUGCUUAACACAUGCAAGUCGAACGGAAAGGCCCUGCUUUUGUGGGGUGCUCGAGUGGCGAACGGGUGAGUAACACGUGAGUAACCUGCCCUUGACUUUGGGAUAACUUCAGGAAACUGGGGCUAAUAUCGGAUAGGAGCUCCUGCUGCAUGGUGGGGGUUGGAAAGUUUCGGCGGUUGGGGAUGGACUCGCGGCUUAUCAGCCUGUUGGUGGGGUAGUGGCUUACCAAGGCUUUGACGGGUAGCCGGCCUGAGAGGGUGACCGGCCACAUUGGGACUGAGAUACGGCCCAGACUCCUACGGGAGGCAGCAGUGGGGAAUAUUACACAAUGGGCGGAAGCCUGAUGCAGCAACGCCGCGUGCGGGAUGACGGCCUGCGGGUUGUAAACCGCUUUCGCCUGUGACGAAGCGUGAGUGACGGUAAUGGGUAAAGAAGCACCGGCUAACUACGUG